CUGUUAGCUUUAUGUGGUCCAGGGGGAGGAAGGAUACCUUAGAAACUGUCAGAAAAGCUCAUUUCAUACUUCAUUUUUCAUCAUGUUAUUUUGUUGCAUGAGACAUUUGUCCAACUGCGUAGGGAAUGAAAAUUCAAAUUAUUUCUGCCACUGAUUGGGGGAUGGAAUUCCAAACGUUGUAAAAGGCGACUGUAUCUAGUGAUUAUUUAUGGCUGAUGGGAAGAGCUGGUUGUGGUAUAGUGUCAGCAGCGUAUGAUCGGUUGGUUCAUCAAAUCUGUCCUUCGUUGAUUAGUUUUUUUGUUUUGUUUUGCAGAUGCAGUUGAAGACCCAAGAUUUGAACGACGCUAUUGUCACACCGAAAGUGUGUUCGAUGAAAUGCCUCCAACAUUCGGAGGUUUUUAUUUGUGAAAGUUUGCAGGCUAAGACAAAUGAUAGCUAUUCAAGGAGCAAGAGGCUGCUCAACAUAAAGCAUCAACAGCAACCUCUGGAACAGCUGAAAAUGCUCUACUGGAAGAUAAGUCAGUGACUGAUCUUAAAUCUAAAGAUUUGGAGAAGAAAAGGGAGCUUUGUUCACUGAUACAAGAAGUUGGAGUGCUUUUGUGAAGGCUUUUGCGAAUCACUUGAAGUGUUAGUACUUUUGUGAAUGAUUUUGUAAAGUGUUUGCAAAUAUGUGCAAAACAUAAUAACAUGUGUUUUUUUUGUGAAUGAUUUUGUUGUGGUG
This 721-nucleotide long non-coding RNA is filed under the name Zea mays. Its description in RNAcentral is "drought-responsive long non-coding RNA". The record is from RNAcentral. Lineage: Eukaryota; Viridiplantae; Streptophyta; Magnoliopsida; Poales; Poaceae.